CCCGCGCCACUAUUAGUUAGUUGGUAAGGUAACGGCUUACCAAGGCUACGAUAGGUAGGGGUCCUGAGAGGGAGAUCCCCCACACUGGUACUGAGACACGGACCAGACUCCUACGGGAGGCAGCAGUGAGGAAUAUUGGACAAUGGGCGAGAGCCUGAUCCAGCCAUGCCGCGUGCAGGAAGACUGCCCUAUGGGUUGUAAACUGCUUUUAUACGGGAAGAAACACCCCUUCGUGAAGGGGCUUGACGGUACCGUAUGAAUAAGGAUCGGCUAACUCCGUGCCAGCAGCCGCGGUAAUACGGAGGAUCCAAGCGUUAUCCGGAAUCAUUGGGUUUAAAGGGUCCGUAGGCGGGUUUGUAAGUCAGUGGUGAAAGUCUGCAGCUCAACUGUAGAACUGCCAUUGAUACUGCAUACCUUGACUAAUUAUGAAGUGGUUAGAAUAUGUAGUGUAGCGGUGAAAUGCAUAGAUAUUACAUAGAAUACCGAUUGCGAAGGUAGAUCACUAAUAAUUUACUGACGCUGAUGGACGAAAGCGUAGGUAGCGAACAGGAUUAUAUACCCUGGUAGUCUACGCCGUAAACGAUGGUUACUAGCUGUUUGGCUCGAUUGAGAGCUGAGUGGCUAAUCGAAAGUGAUAAGUAACCCACCUGGGGAGUACGUUCGCAAGAAUGAAACUCACAGGAAUUGACGGCCGCCCCACAAGCGGUGGACCAUGUGGUUUAAUUCGAUGAUACCCCGAGGAACCCUUCCCCGGGCUUAAAUGUAUCUUGACUGGGUGGGAAACCCCUUUUUUCUUCCGGGCAAGUUUACACGGUGCUGCAUGGUUUGUCGUUCAGCUCGUGCCCCUGAGGUGUCAGGUUAAUUCCUAUAACUACCUCAUCCCCCUGGCGGUUAGCUUGCCCAGCGACUAAUGUCCGGAACUCUUACUCAGACUUGUCCGGUUGCCCAACCCUGGAGGAAGGUAGGGGAAUGACGUUCAAAUUCUCCACGGGUCCUUUACGCUCUUGUGUCCUCUCUACGUGGCCUACUUUGGUCAGGGAACAGAAUACCCAUCUCAUCUGGUCUUCACCUAGUUAGCUCAAUUUACUCAACCCUCUAUCCACGAUCUCUUCGAUUGGCCACUUUUGGUAUCUUCUUACCCUACUGGUUACGUCCCGGUAAUCGCCUAAUUUAUUUCUACUAAUUAUCAUUAUCCAUACGUCGCCCGGCGUUGGAAUAUACAGUGUAUCCCUCGCGGUCAUCUGGGCCAUACAUCCCCGGCCCCGCGUUAAUGCACCAUGGCUUAACGCUUGUGUGGUUGCGCCUACAUCCCGGUAAGAUAUUUAUUGCGCGUCGA
RNAcentral lists this ribosomal RNA (1336 nucleotides) under uncultured microorganism. RNAcentral describes it as "partial 16S ribosomal RNA". It matches the Rfam family "Bacterial small subunit ribosomal RNA", at positions 230 to 1533 of the family's 1533-position model. The record is from RNAcentral.